CGACCGGCGCACGGGUGAGUAACACGUAUCCAACCUGCCGUCUACUCUUGGACAGCCUUCUGAAAGGAAGACUAAUACAAGAUGGCAUCAUGAGUCCGCAUGUUCACAUGAUUAAAGGUGUUCCGGUAGACGAUGGGGAUGCGUUCCAUUAGAUAGUAGGCGGGGUAACGGCCCACCUAGUCUUCGAUGGAUAGGGGUUCUGAGAGGAAGGUCCCCCACAUUGGAACUGAGACACGGUCCAA
This 242-nucleotide ribosomal RNA is filed under the name uncultured bacterium. RNAcentral describes it as "partial 16S ribosomal RNA". It matches the Rfam family "Bacterial small subunit ribosomal RNA", at positions 92 to 334 of the family's 1533-position model. The record is from RNAcentral.